This is a long non-coding RNA of Panicum virgatum (switchgrass), 217 nucleotides long. RefSeq lists it as uncharacterized. The transcript is spliced from 3 exons. The record is from RefSeq and is a predicted model, not a curated record. NCBI's taxonomy places the organism in Eukaryota, Viridiplantae, Streptophyta, Magnoliopsida, Poales, Poaceae.
GUCAAUAUCUGUCAACUUGUAUCGGCAUGGUCACGGGGAAAAAUCUUGCAGAGAUUUGCCGUCAGGAGUACAGUCAGGUGAUAUGUGUUGCUCUUGGUCUUCAGGCAUGGGUAUCCUUGUUAACCUCUGAAGUAACCAUGGCGUGGCAGUGGGGUUCAACCUUGUGUUUGAACACGAUGAUCUUAUCACAGCCAUAUGUAUUGCAAGUGUUGUAGUU